Molecule: long non-coding RNA, 1024 nt
Filed under: Heterocephalus glaber (naked mole-rat)
Lineage: Eukaryota; Metazoa; Chordata; Mammalia; Rodentia; Bathyergidae
Description: lncRNA (ENSHGLG00000045490.1)
Source: RNAcentral
UGAAGGCAGAGAGAAGAGGAAAGAAAUAGCCAGCUGUGCGCCAUCCCUGUCAGCACUUCUAGUGGCCUGCGGCCACACCCUCCCGAGGUACUCAGCCAGCUCUUCACUGGCAGCAGGGAAAAGCUGAGUCUCUCCAGUUCUUAGGCUCCAUAUCUAGAGGUAAAUGGCCCAGAGAUUUUUCUGAGGGCAUUCCUUAUUCUUCAUUUGAUGGCAUGAGCACCAAGAAGACAGGAGCCGAGAAACAUUACCAUUUUUGGAACAAAGUGACAAAGGAAAACAGAAAGAGACAGAAGGUCACCGGGCCACCUCCAGCCAGGCCAGCAGAACACCAGGGCGGUAUAGAAAGACAAAGGACAUCUCAGUAAGCUGGACCAGGGAUCCGGAGGGGCAGGGUCUUCCAGUCUCCCAUCCCUGUUCUUCUGACCUCACCCCCUUCCUCCUGUGCCUGUUCUCCAUCCCCCUUCCUGCUCUGGAUCACAGAGCAGGUCUCCCACCACCCACCACCAAGCCUCCCUCUACCCUUUGGUGCCAGAGUCACGGCCAGCCUGGCCCAGUCAUCCCUGGACGUGGGGUAGGGCCACACCUUAGAAAGUGACUUCCCAGCCUCUUUGUCCCUCGGGGACAGGGACAGCUAGGUUCUGGGCAGUCACUCUACAUAGAGCCCUGAUGACCUCUUAUAUGUUUGGCCCGCUUGUGCCUCUCAACUCUUACUAUGUCUUAGAGUCCAGGAAAUGUCAGGAAGCAUUUUCAAUAUCUGCCUUGGCCACCCCAGCAGCUAGAGACAGAAAUCCGUAUGUUACAAAGUCCCCUGGCUUUGCCUGUGACUGCUCUAUGGUGAUCCGGGUAUUGUUAUGCCCUGACUAUUCCAAGCCCUUGGGAGUGCUACAUCUUAGUCUCUUCACUCUUAGCCAUUCUUUGCCUAGGGAAUAUUUCCCACCUCCCCAGGCCCAGUUUAAAUGCUACCACCUCCAUGAUAUUUCCCUGAUUCUACCUACCAGAUGAAAGCCUUGAGUUAUUCCUUUAU